CGGACCAAGGAGUCUAACAUGUGUGCGAGUCAGUGGGUCUCGAACAAGCCCACGGGCGCAAUGAAAGCAAAGGUCCACCAGGGCCGAGUUGGGAUCCUUUCCCCUUCGCGGGCAAGGCGCACCAACGACCCGCCCGUACGGAUUUAUUCGUGGGACGGAGUUUGAGCACACACGUUGGGACCCGAAAGAUGGUGAACUAUGCCCGGGCAGGACGAAGUCAGAGGAAACUCUGGUGGAGGUCCGCCGCGGUUCUGACGUGCAAAUCGAUCGUCAGAUCCGGGUAUAGGGGCGAAAGACCAAUCGAACUAUCUAGUAGCUGGUUCCCUCCGAAGUUUCCCUCAGGAUAGCUGGCGCUCGGAGAAUUCAGUCUCAUCCGGUAAAGCGAAUGAUUAGAGGCCUUGGGGCCGAAACGACCUCAACCUAUUCUCAAACUUUAAAUGGGUGAGAAGUCCGCCUUGCUUAAUUGAAGGCCGGACUUCGUAGACACGGAUGAGAGUGCCCAGUGGGCCACUUUUGGUAAGCAGAACUGGCGCUGUGGGAUGAACCAAACGUCGGGUUACGGUGUCCGAUGCGAGACGCUCAUGAGACCCCAUGAAAGGUGUUGGUUGCUCCAGACAGCAGGACGGUGGCCACGGAGGUUGGAAUCCGCUAAGGAGUGUGUAACAACUCACCUGCCGAAGCAACUAGCCCUGAAAAUGGAUGACGCUCCAGCGUCGAACCCAUACCCGACCGCUGCGGCACAACUCCCUCUUCUGGGGAGGCUUACGCCGCAGUGAGUAGGAGGGUCGCAGCGGCGAGCGUUGAAGGUGCCGGGCGCGAGCCCGCCUGGAGCCGCCGCUGGUGCAGAUCUUGGUGGUAGUAGCAAAUACUCAAGUGAGAACCUUGAGGACUGAAGGUGGAGAAGGGUUCCAUGUGAACAGCAGUUGAACAUGGGUCAGUCGGACCUGAGGGAUCGGAGAAGUCCGUUCCGAAGCGGGACAUUGACGCGAGUGCUCGUCCCGCUGCCGACCGAAAGGGAAUGGGGUCAAUAUUCCCCAACCCGGACACGGAGAUAGGGUCUUCGGGCCCAAGUGCGGUAACGCAACCGAACUCGGAGACGGCGACGGAGGACCCGGGGAAGAGUUUCUUUUCUUUGUAAGAGUUCGUGUCCCUGGAAUCGGUUCAUCCGGAGAUAGGGACGCUGUUCUCGUAAAAGCUCCGCGGCUCUUGCGGAGUCCGGUGCGCCUCUGCCGCCCCUUGAAAAUCCGAGGGAGAGAGUGUAAUUUUCGUGCCGGUCCGUACCCAUAUCCGCAGCA
RNAcentral lists this ribosomal RNA (1295 nucleotides) under Mimetus sp. GH1186. RNAcentral describes it as "eukaryotic LSU rRNA". It matches the Rfam family "Eukaryotic large subunit ribosomal RNA", at positions 662 to 1861 of the family's 3401-position model. Lineage: Eukaryota; Metazoa; Arthropoda; Arachnida; Araneae; Mimetidae. The record is from RNAcentral.